UUCGGGGUGGAUUAGUGGCGAACGGGUGAGUAACACGUGGGCAAUCUGCCCUUCACUCUGGGACAAGCCCUGGAAACGGGGUCUAAUACCGGAUAACACUCUGUCCCGCAUGGGACGGGGUUAAAAGCUCCGGCGGUGAAGGAUGAGCCCGCGGCCUAUCAGCUUGUUGGUGGGGUAAUGGCCUACCAAGGCGACGACGGGUAGCCGGCCUGAGAGGGCGACCGGCCACACUGGGACUGAGACACGGCCCAGACUCCUACGGGAGGCAGCAGUGGGGAAUAUUGCACAAUGGGCGAAAGCCUGAUGCAGCGACGCCGCGUGAGGGAUGACGGCCUUCGGGUUGUAAACCUCUUUCAGCAGGGAAGAAGCGAAAGUGACGGUACCUGCAGAAGAAGCGCCGGCUAACUACGUGCCAGCAGCCGCGGUAAUACGUAGGGCGCAAGCGUUGUCCGGAAUUAUUGGGCGUAAAGAGCUCGUAGGCGGCUUGUCACGUCGGAUGUGAAAGCCCGGGGCUUAACCCCGGGUCUGCAUUCGAUACGGGCUAGCUAGAGUGUGGUAGGGGAGAUCGGAAUUCCUGGUGUAGCGGUGAAAUGCGCAGAUAUCAGGAGGAACACCGGUGGCGAAGGCGGAUCUCUGGGCCAUUACUGACGCUGAGGAGCGAAAGCGUGGGGAGCGAACAGGAUUAGAUACCCUGGUAGUCCACGCCGUAAACGUUGGGAACUAGGUGUUGGCGACAUUCC
This 740-nucleotide ribosomal RNA is filed under the name Streptomyces pratensis. RNAcentral describes it as "bacterial SSU rRNA". It matches the Rfam family "Bacterial small subunit ribosomal RNA", at positions 81 to 835 of the family's 1533-position model. The record is from RNAcentral. Lineage: Bacteria; Bacillati; Actinomycetota; Actinomycetes; Kitasatosporales; Streptomycetaceae.